Molecule: ribosomal RNA, 1102 nt
Filed under: Atyoida pilipes
Lineage: Eukaryota; Metazoa; Arthropoda; Malacostraca; Decapoda; Atyidae
Description: eukaryotic LSU rRNA
Rfam family: Eukaryotic large subunit ribosomal RNA
Source: RNAcentral
CGGGAUUCCCCGAGUAAGGGCGACUGAAACGGGACCUAGCCCAGCGCAUAACCUCGCGGUUCGUGCAGAGCCGACGAGGGGUGUUGCGUAUCGGUGGAUCCGUCCCGCCCGUGCCCUACCGCCUAAGUCCAAGUAGGAAUACAGCCCCGCGGAGGGUGAGAGGCCCGUGUGGCGGCGCCCGCAAGGGCUACUAGGGCGCGGGCGGAGGGAUCGCUUCACCGGAGAGUCGGGUUGCUUAAUACUGCAGCCCUAAGAGAGGUGGUAAACUCCAUCUAAGGCUAAAUACAACCACGAGUCCGAUAGGAGACAAGUACCGUGAGGGAAAGUUGAAAAGGACUUUGAAGAGAGAGUUCAACAGUACGUGAAGCCGUUAGAAGCCUAAACGGGUGGAACCGCGAAGGUCGAACGAGGGCACUCACCUCGUCGGGCGGGCGGGACCCGGGGCGCUCCGACAGGCCGGCGCCGAAAGUAAGAAAUGAGUUGGAGCGCAGGAGCGCCCUGUCCGUCGCGUCCCGCUCCGGCGGGCGUACUUGUCCCUCCAGUAGGAGACGCCGCGAGCCGUGGCGGGGACCAGGAGGCCCACGCAGCCCGGAUUGGUACCCUCGGUCCGGAGGGGAAACCGCGGCUGGGAGUUAGAUGGUGGCCCUGCCACGGCCUGGCCCAGGGCGGCCGCUCUGCCUUCUGGGCGGCGGCGGCCGCCUCGCGGCGGAGGACGAAGUCGGUGAUCCACCCGACCCGUCUUGAAACACGGACCAAGGAGUCUAACAAGUGUGCGAGUCUAAGGGUCCGUCGAGACCCGGAGGCGCAAUGAAAGUGAGUGACCAAUGGCAGGCCGAUCCCCGAAAAUAUUAUUUUUCGGGGCGCAGGCCGGGGACUUGCCGCCCGGCGGCCGCCGACGGCCUCCCCCGCCCUCCGGGGCGGGACGGGGCUCCGGCGGUCCGCCGGCAAGUACCUCGAGAGCACACGCGUUGGGACCCGAAAGAUGGUGAACUAUGCCUGGCCAGGACGAAGCCAGAGGAAACUCUGGUGGAGGUCCGAACCAGUUCUGACGUGCAAAUCGAUUGUCAGAGCUGGGUAUAGGGGCGAAAGACUAAUCGAACCA